GGGUGUGUAAGCGCAGCGAUGCGUUGAGCUAACCGGUACUAAUGAACCGUGAGGCUUAACCUUACAACGCCGAAGC
RNAcentral lists this ribosomal RNA (76 nucleotides) under Escherichia coli. Its description in RNAcentral is "partial 23S ribosomal RNA". Lineage: Bacteria; Pseudomonadati; Pseudomonadota; Gammaproteobacteria; Enterobacterales; Enterobacteriaceae. RNAcentral also lists the same sequence under 4 other names. The record is from RNAcentral.